GACGAACCGUGCGAACGUUGUUCGGAAUCACUGGGCUUAAAGGGCGCGUAGGCGGGCUGUCAAGUCCGGGGUGAAAUCCUCCCGCUCAACGGGAGAACGGCCUCGGAUACUGAUGGCCUCGAGGGAGGUAGGGGCACGCGGAACUGUGGGUGGAGCGGUGAAAUGCGUUGAUAUCCAUAGGAACGCCGGUGGCGAAAGCGGCGUGCUGGACCUUUUCUGACGCUGAGGCGCGAAAGCCAGGGGAGCAAACAGG
This 253-nucleotide ribosomal RNA is filed under the name uncultured bacterium. RNAcentral's name for it is "partial 16S ribosomal RNA". It matches the Rfam family "Bacterial small subunit ribosomal RNA", at positions 524 to 776 of the family's 1533-position model. The record is from RNAcentral.